This 395-nucleotide ribosomal RNA is filed under the name uncultured bacterium. RNAcentral's name for it is "partial 16S ribosomal RNA". It matches the Rfam family "Bacterial small subunit ribosomal RNA", at positions 338 to 730 of the family's 1533-position model. The record is from RNAcentral.
CCUACGGGAGGCAGCAGUGAGGAAUAUUGGUCAAUGGAUGGAAGUCUGAACCAGCCAUGCCGCGUGCAGGAAGACGGCUCUAUGAGUUGUAAACUGCUUUUGUACGAGGGUAAACCUGAAUACGUGUAUUCAGCUGAAAGUACUGUACGAAAAAGGAUCGGCUAACUCCGUGCCAGCAGCCGCGGUAAUACGGAGGAUCCAAGCGUUAUCCGGAUUUAUUGGGUUUAAAGGGUGCGUAGGCGGAUUGAUAAGUUAGAGGUGAAAUGUCCGAGCUUAACUCGGGAACUGCCUUUAAUACUGUUGUUCUAGAGAGGGGGUGAAGUAUGCGGAAUGUAUGGUGUAGCGGUGAAAUGCAUAGAGAUCAUACAGAACACCGAUUGCGAAGGCAGCUUACC